Molecule: non-coding RNA, 169 nt
Filed under: Pseudomonas linyingensis
Lineage: Bacteria; Pseudomonadati; Pseudomonadota; Gammaproteobacteria; Pseudomonadales; Pseudomonadaceae
Source: RNAcentral
UUCCCAGUGGCGGGAAACACUGCAUAUAUAUACAGAAAAUAAGAUGCGACUGAACAAAAACCGGAUAGAAGGCGCUGCCGAGCAGGGCGAGCGGGCAAGCCUCCGCGAAGCUCUUGUGAUCAAGUCGAAGUGGCGUAGAUCCGACGGUUGUGCAGCGAAGGAGUGCGUU